Sabethes cyaneus is the source of this 667-nucleotide long non-coding RNA. RefSeq lists it as uncharacterized. The transcript is spliced from 4 exons. NCBI's taxonomy places the organism in Eukaryota, Metazoa, Arthropoda, Insecta, Diptera, Culicidae. The record is from RefSeq and is a predicted model, not a curated record.
UAUGCAUAAAUUGAAGUUAAAUGUUUUAAAAGCGUAUUAUCCAGCAGUGUCGCCCUCCAAACUACUCGGAAUGGCAGUUUUUGUGCUUUUCUGACCGCCGUUAAGGCCUUUAACAAGGUCUGUGCCUUACUGUGCUGCCGAGGUGCUGAUCAUGUGAAACCUGUCAAAUUCGCCACCCGCAUAAUCAAAAACUAUUGAUAAAACGAAACGAACGAAAAAGCGAUAAACUGUUAUUCAUUGCUUCGCUGUUGGACUUCCGCCCUCUACACUAACCGUCACCAUCGUCACCGUCAUUUCUGAUUGCCGGUUAGAAUCUUUGAGUGAAGAUUAUAUCAUCGUGAAAAUGCUAAUCGAGCAACUAUUAAGCGACGAAUAUGUUCUUAAGUUUUGCCUUAAAGAGAUCGCAGCAUGCCGCGUAUACUACUAUCCGCUUUCAUUUGGAGUGUCCAAGGUGAUGUCAGCGAGGAAGUCAAAAGUACGUAUAGUGGUGACACGGUGACCUGCCAGGAUUUAGUUACGCUGCACAGUUAUCCAUGAAGCUACCAUGGUGGAUGGUUACAAACGGAGGCGUGAGUGAAAAAGCGCAAAAUCGCAAGCGCCUGAGCAUUACGAAAUAAUUGAAAUUAUAUUUCAUAUCAUUUAUGAGCUAAUAAACGAACUAUAUAAU